UGGGGUGUCGUCAAGCGGUAAGACACAAGGUUUUGAUCCUUGCAUUCGGGGGUUCGAAUCCUCCCGCCCCAG
Molecule: transfer RNA, 72 nt
Filed under: Candidatus Electronema aureum
Lineage: Bacteria; Pseudomonadati; Thermodesulfobacteriota; Desulfobulbia; Desulfobulbales; Desulfobulbaceae
Rfam family: tRNA
About the family: Transfer RNA (tRNA) molecules are approximately 80 nucleotides in length.
Source: Rfam by way of RNAcentral